Molecule: ribosomal RNA, 915 nt
Filed under: Proteus mirabilis
Lineage: Bacteria; Pseudomonadati; Pseudomonadota; Gammaproteobacteria; Enterobacterales; Morganellaceae
Description: bacterial SSU rRNA
Rfam family: Bacterial small subunit ribosomal RNA
Source: RNAcentral
GGCUCACCUAGGUCGACGAUCUCUAGCUGGUCUGAGAGGAUGUCAGCCACACUGGUGACUGAGACCGGCCCAGAUCCUACGGGAGGCAGCAGUGGGGAAUAUUGCACAAUGGGCGCAAGCCUGAUGCAGCCAUGCCGCGUGUAUGAAGAAGGCCUUAGGGUUGUAAAGUACUUUCAGCGGGGAGGAAGGUGAUAAGGUUAAUACCCUUGUCAAUUGACGUUACCCGCAGAAAAGCACCGGCUAACUCCGUGCCAGCAGCCGCGGUAAUACGGAGGGUGCAGCGUUAAUCGAUUACUGGGCGUAAAGCGCACGCAGGCGGUCAAUUAAGUCAGAUGUGAAAGCCCCGAGCUUAACUUGGGAAUUGCAUCUGAAACUGGUUGGCUAGAGUCUUGUAGAGGGGGGUAGAAUUCCAUGUGUAGCGGUGAAAUGCGUAAGAUGUGGAGGAAUACCGGUGGCGAAGGCGGCCCCCUGGACAAAGACUGACGCUCAGGUGCGAAAGCGUGGGAGCAAACAGGAUUAGAUACCCUGGUAGUCCACGCUGUAAACGAUGUCGAUUUAGAGGUUGUGGUCUUGAACCGUGGCUUCUGGACUAACGCGUAAAUCACCGCCUGGGAUACGGCCGCAGGUUAAAACUCAAAUGAAUUGACGGGGGCCCCCCAAGCGGUGGAGCAUGGGUUUAAUUUCAUGCAACGCGAAGAACCUUACCUAUCUUGCAUCCAGCGAAUCCUUUAGAGAUAGAGGAGUGCCUUCGGGAACGCUGAGACAGGUGCUGCAUGGCUGUCGUCAGCUCGUGUUGUGAAAUGUUGGGUUAAGUCCCGCAACGAGCGCAACCCUUAUCCUUUGUUGCCAGCACGUAAUGGUGGGAACUCAAAGGAGACUGCCGGUGAUAAACCGGAGGAAGGUGGGGAUGACGUC